Molecule: ribosomal RNA, 301 nt
Filed under: uncultured bacterium
Lineage: Bacteria
Description: partial 16S ribosomal RNA
Rfam family: Bacterial small subunit ribosomal RNA
Source: RNAcentral
CAGUCGCCGCGGGAAUACGUAGGGUGCAAGCGUUAAUCGGAAUUACUGGGCGUAAAGCGUGCGCAGGCGGUUAUAUAAGACAGAUGUGAAAUCCCCGGGCUCAACCUGGGAACUGCAUUUGUGACUGUAUAGCUAGAGUACGGCAGAGGGGGAUUGAAUUCCGCGUGUAGCAGUGAAAUGCGUAGAUAUGCGGAGGAACACCGAUGGCGAAGGCAAUCCCCUGGGCCUGUACUGACGCUCAUGCACGAAAGCGUGGGGAGCAAACAGGAUUAGAUACCCGAGUAGUCCCUGUCUCUUAUAA